CCUACGGGAGGCUGCAGUAGGGAAUAUUGCUCAAUGGGGGAAACCCUGAUGCAGCAACGCCGCGUGGACGAUGAAGGUUUUCGGAUUGUAAACCCCUUUUGUUAGAGAAGAUAAUGACGGUAUCUAACGAAUAAGCACCGGCUAACUCCGUGCCAGCAGCCGCGGUAAUACGGAGGGGGCAAGCGUUACUCGGAAUCACUGGGCGUAAAGGGCGCGUAGGCGGGAUGGCAAGUCAGAUGUGAAAUCCUAGGGCUCAACCAUAGCACUGCAUUUGAAACUGUUAUUCUAGAGUAUGGGAGAGGUAGGUGGAAUUCUUGGUGUAGGGGUAAAAUGCGUAGAGAUCAAGAGGAACACUCAUUGCGAAGGCGACCUGCUAGAACAUAACUGACGCUGAGGCGCGAAAGCGUGGGGAGCAAACAGGAUUAGAUACCCGUGUAGUC
RNAcentral lists this ribosomal RNA (440 nucleotides) under uncultured bacterium. RNAcentral's name for it is "partial 16S ribosomal RNA". It matches the Rfam family "Bacterial small subunit ribosomal RNA", at positions 338 to 795 of the family's 1533-position model. The record is from RNAcentral.